This 254-nucleotide ribosomal RNA is filed under the name uncultured bacterium. RNAcentral describes it as "partial 16S ribosomal RNA". It matches the Rfam family "Bacterial small subunit ribosomal RNA", at positions 524 to 776 of the family's 1533-position model. The record is from RNAcentral.
UACGUAGGUGGCAAGCGUUGUCCGGAAUUAUUGGGCGUAAAGAGCUCGUAGGCGGUGUGUCGCGUCGGUCGUGAAAACUUGGGGCUUAACCCUGAGCUUGCGGUCGAUACGGGCAUCACUGGAGUUCGGCAGGGGAGACUGGAAUUCCUGGUGUAGCGGUGAAAUGCGCAGAUAUCAGGAGGAACACCGGUGGCGAAGGCGGGUCUCUGGGCCGAUACUGACGCUGAGGAGCGAAAGCGUGGGGAGCGAACAGG